RNAcentral lists this transfer RNA (72 nucleotides) under Treponema sp. RNAcentral's name for it is "tRNA-Glu". It matches the Rfam family "tRNA". From Rfam's summary of the family: Transfer RNA (tRNA) molecules are approximately 80 nucleotides in length. Their secondary structure includes four short double-helical elements and three loops (D, anti-codon, and T loops). Lineage: Bacteria; Pseudomonadati; Spirochaetota; Spirochaetia; Treponematales; Treponemataceae. The record is from RNAcentral.
GUCUCCAUCGUCUAGGGGUUAGGACACGAGGUUUUCAUCCUCGCAACGGGGGUUCGAUUCCCCCUGGAGAUG